Molecule: non-coding RNA, 148 nt
Organism: Herminiimonas arsenicoxydans
Lineage: Bacteria; Pseudomonadati; Pseudomonadota; Betaproteobacteria; Burkholderiales; Oxalobacteraceae
Source: Rfam
CCGCCACCGAAAUGCCUGCCGACGUUGUCGGCGACAUGCCCAGGUAGCCCGCGGUCCUUGAGGCUACGGCGCAGUCUUCUGCGCUGACCGCUCCCCGUUCGCUCCGCAUCCUGGCCGCGAACAAUCACCUCUGCGUGGUGGUGGAUGC